RNAcentral lists this ribosomal RNA (510 nucleotides) under uncultured bacterium. Its description in RNAcentral is "partial 16S ribosomal RNA". It matches the Rfam family "Bacterial small subunit ribosomal RNA", at positions 28 to 507 of the family's 1533-position model. The record is from RNAcentral.
GACGAACGCUGGCGGCGUGCUUAACACAUGCAAGUCGAACGAAGAGCGACGGAAGCUUGCUUCUAUCAAUCUUAGUGGCGAACGGGUGAGUAACGCGUAAUCAACCUGCCCUUCAGAGGGGGACAACAGUUGGAAACGACUGCUAAUACCGCAUACGAUCUAACCUCGGCAUCGAGGAUAGAUGAAAGGUGGCCUCUACAUGUAAGCUAUCACUGAAGGAGGGGAUUGCGUCUGAUUAGCUAGUUGGAGGGGUAACGGCCCACCAAGGCGAUGAUCAGUAGCCGGUGGGAGGGGAGGAACGGCCACUGGGGGACGGAAACACGCCCCAGACCCGACGGGGGGGAGGCGGGGGGGAAUCUUCCGAAAGGGAAGAAAGUCGGACGGAGCAACGCCGCGGGGGUGAGGAGGGCUUUGGGUUUGAAAAGUUUGUUUAAUGGGGAAAAAAGGCUUUUUUGCGAAAAGUGAGAAGGUUGGCGGGACCCGAAAAAGAAAGCCACGGCAAACUACGUG